GUCUGCUUAGCUCAGUGGCAGAGCGUUGGCCUUCGGAACCAACGGUCGUAGGUUCGACCCCUGCAGUAGACU
This is a non-coding RNA of Vanrija pseudolonga, 72 nucleotides long. Lineage: Eukaryota; Fungi; Basidiomycota; Tremellomycetes; Trichosporonales; Trichosporonaceae. The record is from the annotation of a RefSeq genome assembly.